GCCGGAGUGGCGAAAUUGGUAGACGCACUAGGUUUAGGACCUAGCGCCGCAAGGCAUGGAGGUUCGAUCCCUCUCUCCGGCACAA
This 85-nucleotide transfer RNA is filed under the name Candidatus Falkowbacteria bacterium CG10_big_fil_rev_8_21_14_0_10_44_15. Its description in RNAcentral is "tRNA-Leu". It matches the Rfam family "tRNA". From Rfam's summary of the family: Transfer RNA (tRNA) molecules are approximately 80 nucleotides in length. Their secondary structure includes four short double-helical elements and three loops (D, anti-codon, and T loops). The record is from RNAcentral. Lineage: Bacteria; Candidatus Falkowiibacteriota.